CCCCCACCUUCCCGGGCCGCUCCGCCCCCUGCUCGGUGCGUCACGCACCGGAGCGCUGCUCCCGGCUACAAAUAACCCGCAGUGCGCGAGCGGUGGCUCCUACGCAGGCCCGCCGCCAGGAGGGGGACUCGGCGGCCACCGCGCACGUCCCCGCGUCCGGCCGACUCGGGCCGCACGGGGGUGACGCGCCCGCGCCUCCCCGGGCACGCACGGACCCGGGGCGCGCAGCACCUGCCGGGCCUCGGACGUGAGCGGCAGCCCCUGCCCCAGAGGCUGGGAGCGCUCAGUCACCCGAUCUGUGGGUGGCUGGAAGACCUGCAGGAGAGAGGCUGACCGACAUCGAACGUUUAUGCUGCAGAAUUGCGGCUUAGCCUGGUUGCUGGACCCAGGCUGAGGCCGUCUGCGGUCUCUCUGAUUCCCUGAAGAUUCUCUGUCCUCUCCCUGCACCACUUCCUCAGGCUGGUUCUCCAGAUCAUGAUUUCCACCCAAUGAGCUUCAUUGAAAACUGUGCUUGCCCUUUGCAUGGUGGAAUAGGAUUAUUUGAAACAGACUCUCUGUAUAUUGCUACAACGAAAAGAUAAAGAAAGUUGGGAGGAAAGAAAUGGCUAUGGACAAGGCCCUGGACAUCUUCCUGACCUCGAAAUCCUUCUCAAAUGCCCACCUGACCCAAGAGAGAGGAUGAUGUCUGCACCUCCAAGUUGUAUGAAAUGACCAACAGACCUGUCUUAUUGGAAGCCCCUGGUUGGACCUUCUGCUAGGCUGCACAAAGAAAGAGCAAAUGGACAGAGGGCCUUCUCAUUCCAGAUGGUAUAAAUAGGGAAAAAGUGACCUCAUCUGUCAUUGGGAUCUCCCACCAAACAUACUCUGAUACUCAGACUUAAGGCCUUCACACUUGGUCCCCUGGAAUUUGGCUGUGCUCCCGGAGAAAAGUGUGUGGGACGGAGAUUAAGUUUCCAUGUCCCCAGUGGAAUGAGGACUCAAAGGGUUAGAAAAUAGGUUGGCUACAGAGGGGAAAAAAAAAAGGAAUAGUGCUGUUUACCUUCUAAAUUAGGGACUGGGCAUGGCACUGUCUUUUAGAAAUCCCCAAGGAUCAUAGAGAUAUGGUAACAAAAUUCCAUUUAUUUUACAUAAAAGAUUGACCAAUAUCAAAUAGGCUAAUGAAGACCAGUUUGAGAGAUUAUGAGAGAAAAGCCAUUCAUAAGAACUGGGGGUGAGGGGCUGGAGCAAUAGCACAGCAGGUAGAGCGUUUGCCUUGCACGCUCAUUUUCAAAGAGGCCGACCCGGAUUCAAUUCCCAUCAUCCCAUAUGGUCCCCUGAGCACUGCCAGGGGUAAUUCCUGAGUGCAGAGCCAGGAGUAACCCCUGUGCAUCACCAGGUGUGACCCAAAUAGAAAAAAAACAAAACAAGAACUGGGGGUGGGCGAGUAAAACAACAUAAACAUUCUCAAGAGCUUCUUGGUACCAGGUACCAGUUCUAAGGAAAUCAUUAUUUAUGUGUUCAGUAUAUGAAAAAUGGUUCUUUAAGGGCUAGGGAGAAAUGUCAAAGGUCUGGAGUAUAAGCAUUGAAUGAGGGAGGUCUGGGUUCAAUUCUCAGCACAGAGCCAGACCCAAGAGCACUGCCAGUUGUGGCCCAGAAACAAACAAAAAAAUCUCAAAGGUAGUUCUCUGCAUGCUAAUACAGCCAAAGCUUGUAAUAGAAAAUUAAAAGAGAGAGAGUACACAGGUCAAGGAACUUGUCUUGCAUGCCAGCAACCCAGCUCAAAAUCCCUGGCACCACCAGGGGUAACUUGUGAGCACAGAGCCAGAAAUGAUCUCUGAGUACUUAGAGUAUGGCCCAAAUUACAGCCAGCUCCACCACCACCACACACAGAACUGAAAAAGGAAAGAAAAAGGUGAGAAUAGCAAGUUUUCCAAUGAUGUUUCCAUUGUAACCAACUUCUUCCAAAUGCCCUACUUCUAAAUACUUAGAAAAUUUCAGUGAGGAUAUAAAAGUAUUCCUACCAUAAAAAUCUUUGACAUGGUAGGAAUAAUUUUUAUUUUCUUCUCACUGAUACUGUGUUUUCUAAUUAUAUGACAGGAGAUAUAGAUUACUUGUGUUACGACUUUCCUAAACUUUUUAAAAAGGAAGUAGUGGGGGACCAGGUCAUGCUCAAGUGGUAGAGCAUGUAUCUGUGAGGCCCCGGUUAUUUCCCUGCCACUGGCUGGCACAACCAAGAGGGUCCCCCGUAAUAUGAUGGCAACAGCAAUAACAAAGAAGUUGAGGAUGACUGAAACACAUCAGGACUGUGGGUGGAUGAUGAGUUAUAGAGAGGUUCUUAGGGUUCAGAUGAAUGACAGGGCUGGAGUGAUAGCACAGUGAGUAGAGCACUGGCCUUGCAUGCAGCAGAUCCAGAUUCAAUCCCUGGCAUCCCAUAUAGCCUCCCAAGCCCACCAGUGUAAUCUCUGAGCACAGAACCAGGAGUAACCCCUGAGCACUGCCGGAUGUGGCCAAAAAAAAAUCAGAUCAAAGACUGACAUUUGUUCUGCCUUGAUACAUCACAAAGGAAUGUUUUUCAACAUUCCAGUAAACAACCUAACUAGCAAAUGAUUGAUCCAUUUCCCCAAGUAAGCACUGAGUGACCUUGAGGACUCCUAUAAGAGCCGAUCUCUCAAUCUUUUUAUUCUCAAGUACAUGCCUUCAAUGUAGAUAGCUAUUUUCCUUGUCUUUGUUGCCUGGGCAACAAAAUAAAGAGUGGCAUUUCUUUUAAGUGACCUUUAUCUGCUCUCCAUCCAACAGACCACAAUUACUAUCUACACAACUUGCUCUCCUAUCUAGAUCCAAAGCCUGUCCAGUUGAGUGUCCAGAUUUCUAAGGAUUAUCCUCCUUUUCUGGCAUCCUCUCUCUCUGAAAAGGAAGCACAUGAGGUGCGAUACUUCCUCUAGGUGAUUCAAACUCACCUUCCCCAGACAACCCUAACCCCAUCUAUACUUUCAGUUGUCCUAAACUACUUAGUACCAAGACAUAUUUUUUUCCAAAGCUGAGCACUUCUAUUGGUUUCCUAGGACUGAUGGUACAAAAUUUCCCCAACAUGGGUUUUGAAAUGACAGAAAUGUAUCUAUCAGAGGAAGCCAGAAUGAAAAAUCAAAGCAUUUGCAAAACAGUGCAAAAAAUCUAUUCUGGACAUCAGCAAGGUAGAACUAAGGUAUCAGGAGAACCAUACUCCCCCAGAUACUUCCUGGUCACUUCUUUCUAGAGUUCCUGGAAUUCUGAGGGUUACAGAAAUGAAACUUAUCUCCACUUCUAACACGACAAACCCACCUCCAAGCUCACUCCCACCCCACCUUGCAUCUCCCUCUCCUUGCUCUUCUAUGAUGCGUUACAGUCCUUGAAUGUCAGGUCCACCUCAAAUAUGGGACAUACUUAUUGUGAGGUCUUCACAUUACACCUGCAAAAACCCUACACCCAAAUAAGGUCACAUUUACAGCCGGGGGUUUGUGGGGGUGGUUUCCCAUUUGAAUUUUUCCUUGGGUGGAGACAAUUCAAGUCACUAUAGUGUUACACGAACCAAGGAGUGAUUCUCUUUAGUAGAUGUAGAUGUGUAGCUAAUUAUAAGCAAGACUAACAAUUACUGAGUACUUAGUAAUGUGCAACAUGCUAAGCAUUUGACAAACAUUAUCUUUCCUCCAACACACCCCUCCACCUCCUAACAACCGCCCAAACAUCCAAUUUCCAUUGCUUUGCCUUCUGCCAACAAGAGUUCUCAAAAUCCUGCCAGUGAAAAGAGCCUUCAUAAGUAAGGAGGGACUGGUGUUCCUAGACUAUCCUAGCAUGACCUGUUAAGCCACUUUUUGAGACUUGGAGAGUAGCCAUACACCUGGUUUUAAUAUUAAUGUGAACUGCAGCCUCGGUAUCUAAUACCAGGCUCUGUACACAAUAUCAUCUUCAUCCCCACUCUAUAAUAAAUAUCUUUGCCAAACCAGAUCAUCCUAAUGCUGUCCAGUUUUAUCCCCAAGUUUCAAGUACACCAUAAAUUUGAAAUAACAUUAACAUUUAUACCGAUGUACUCACUAUUUAAUUCUCUAUCAACAUUUUGCUACUUUUCUUUAUCCUCUAAAGAUGCACCCAUCUAUUCUUUCUUCCUAUGAACCCGUCUUAUUUCACACACACACACCCCACCCCCCAAACACUCAACUCAGCACGUGUGAGGCCAGAGCAUAGGCUCUUUGGUGGCAGACAGAGCUCUAAUGGGAAGGAAAGAGGAUAAAGUUAGCUGAACAUGGUGGGCAGAGCCAUUGUACAGAGAGCAGGACACUUGCCUUGCAUGCCGCCAACCUAGGUUCAAUUCCUGGCACUCCAUAUGAUCCCCCAAAGCCAUCAGGCAUGACUCCUGAGUGCAAGGAGUGCUAGGACUAAGCCCUGAACACUGCUGGUUGUGACCCCAAACACAAAGCAAAAUAAACAACCAAAGUAAGUGAGCUGAACAGGGUCAGAUCCCUCUCCUAUGCCACCAAUUAAGUUAGGCAUGCCUCUGACCAUGGAUAAAAUAAGUAAAUGGUAAGAGUGCCCAAUGGUGUGACCUUGGGUAUCUCUAUUCAUGAGGAAACAGUAGUGAGGCAUUCAUUCUUUUACAAAGAUAGCCCUGAGAGAUUUGAUGCAUGAGCCUCUUCAACGGUAACCCAAUAGUAAUUUCAACCAUUUCCUGCCAUUCCUAACAUAACUUUCUAAUAAGAAUUUGCACUCAGGUAACAAUACUAGCAUCUUCCAUUUUUCACAGUUCUCCUAAGCUUUCAGUUGCUUAUUGCUCUCAUUUUCUCAUAUUCUAAGCAGUCAUUCCCUAUGCACAGAAGAAUAUGAGGCUCACAACCAAUCAGUUCCCUGACUAGAGAAGAAAAACAAUUUUUUAGGCUGAAACAAGAAUUGCCAGGCUGAAAAACUUCCAGGAAGAACUAAAAUUGGUACAGUUCAGAUCAUUUGUCUAUCGUCGAUGGAUCAUUAGACCAAGAAGACAGGGUCCAAUCUGAGUCCUAUGUCACCAAUGUACUUGAAGGGAUUAAAGUCUAUCACAGAUACAAGUUGUGUGCAUGUGUGUGGGGGGGAGGGGAAGAGGACAGGAUUUCAACAGGCACAAAAGAAUUCCAGUACUCUAGCUCAUUGAUUUUUAUCCCUUUACCCCAGGGCUUCCUCUACUGAUAACCCUUGUUCAAAUAAGAAAAUCCUAUUGAUGCUAUAAUGAGAAAAUCUCUUUAGCAAACACUUUUUUACAUAUGACAUUAGGGGCUACUGGUUUUUUUCUUUUAACAUCUGUUUAGAUUAGGUAAGUAAUUAAUGAAAAAUUAACAUGCUUUCAUAUCAAGGAAUAGUAGCAGCUUUUACUAAAUUUGAUAAUGAAUUUCAUUGUUCUUGAAAUUUCUUGUUUAAUAAAAUAGAGUGUAAGGGUGAAUUUAAAUGCCUAAGUAACUUGGUAUUGGGGGAAGAAUAAACUGUUUAACCUCUGUUUAACCUUUUCUGCAAUGUUUAUUUAAGCAUUCUCCCAAUGUUUAUAUGAUUCACUCAAGAAUGUAUCCCAGGUUAUGUACAAUUAGAUAUAAGUUAUUUACAAAUCUGUUCCAGUCUGGUUGCCUCUAUAACAAAUGUUAAGAAAAUAAACUGA
Long non-coding RNA from Sorex araneus (European shrew), 5629 nucleotides. RefSeq lists it as uncharacterized. Lineage: Eukaryota; Metazoa; Chordata; Mammalia; Eulipotyphla; Soricidae. The transcript is spliced from 4 exons. The record is from RefSeq and is a predicted model, not a curated record.